GACGAACGCUGGCGGCGUGCUUAACACAUGCAAGUCGAACGGAAAGGCCCUGCUUUUGUUGGGUGCUCGAGUGGCGAACGGGUGAGUAACACGUGAGUAACCUGCCCUUGACUUUGGGAUAACUUCAGGAAACUGGGGCUCAUACCGGAUAGGAGCUCCUGCUGCAUGGUGGUGGUUGGAAAGUUUCGGCUGUUGGGGAUGGACUCGCGGCUUAUCAGCUUGUUGGUGGGGUAGUGGCUUACCAGGGGUUCGACGGGUAGCCGGCCUGAGAGGGUGACCGGGCACAUUGGGACUGAGAUACGGCCCAGACUCCUACGGGAGGCAGCAGUGGGGAAUAUUGCACAAUGGGCGGAAGCCUGAUGCAGCAACGCCGCGUGCGGGAUGACGGCCUACGGGUUGUAAACCGCUGUCGCAUGUGACGAAGCGUGAGUGACGGUAAUGGGUAAAGAAGCACCGGCUAACUACGUG
This 468-nucleotide ribosomal RNA is filed under the name uncultured bacterium. RNAcentral describes it as "partial 16S ribosomal RNA". It matches the Rfam family "Bacterial small subunit ribosomal RNA", at positions 28 to 507 of the family's 1533-position model. The record is from RNAcentral.